UCGAUCACCAGCUCAUUGAAACCACCGUCAUUCCCACAUCCUAAUCAUUAGCCAAAAUAACAAAAGAAAAACUUUGAAUUACAAACUCAAGGUUAAACUAAGAUGUUCUUAGAUGAAAAAAUAAAAGGGUAGCAUUUAAUUUUAGACUUGAAUGAUUCUAGUUCUGAAAAUACAUGGACUAAAAUGGCCGGAUAUAUCUUAGUGCUUCAAUUAAUAUAUCCUAAAUUUUUUUGUAAAAAUGUGUCUUUAAUUGGUUUCAUUAUUUAACAAAUAUAACAACCAAUCACUUGAUAUAGUUAUUUUAGGCUUAAUUUCUAUGGUCCAUGAAAUUACCACUAAUUGCAGCACAAUCACAAAACUUUGUAUCAAUAAACGUAAAUUUGAUUUUAUUUCAAUAAGGUCACUACUGUUAAUUAAUAGAAUUUUUCAGAAGAUAAUAAAGCAAACUUUUAUAAACUAGAUUUAUAAUUAAGAUCAAACAAUAAGAUUUUCUUAUGUAGUUAGCACAAAAAUUUUGGCUAAAACGCUAUAAAAAUUUAGUAAUAGAAACAAAAAUGAAACAAAAAUCAAAGAUGAGUGAUUUUACGGACACAAAUUGAAGUUCAAUGAUUGUACUGAAAUUCACUGACAAGUUCAAUAACCAUGUAUGAAAUUAAGCCUUAUUCUCAACUUAUAAGAGAAAGCCCCCCAAAAAGGAGGAGAAUCCAAGGAAGAACCAUAGAUAAAAGAAGAAGAGAAGAGAGGAGUUUUUU
RNAcentral lists this unclassified non-coding RNA (752 nucleotides) under Hevea brasiliensis (rubber tree). The record is from RNAcentral. Lineage: Eukaryota; Viridiplantae; Streptophyta; Magnoliopsida; Malpighiales; Euphorbiaceae.